This 253-nucleotide ribosomal RNA is filed under the name uncultured bacterium. RNAcentral's name for it is "partial 16S ribosomal RNA". It matches the Rfam family "Bacterial small subunit ribosomal RNA", at positions 524 to 776 of the family's 1533-position model. The record is from RNAcentral.
UACGGAGGGGGCUAGCGUUGUUCGGAAUUACUGGGCGUAAAGCGCACGUAGGCGGAUAGUUAAGUCGGGGGUGAAAUCCCUGGGCUCAACCCCGGAACUGCCUUCGAUACUGGCUGUCUAGAGUUCGAGAGAGGUGAGUGGAAUUCCGAGUGUAGAGGUGAAAUUCGUAGAUAUUCGGAGGAACACCAGUGGCGAAGGCGGCCCACUGGAUCGAUACUGACGCUGAGGUGCGAAAGCGUGGGGAGCAAACAGG